Molecule: long non-coding RNA, 624 nt
Filed under: Musa acuminata (dwarf banana)
Lineage: Eukaryota; Viridiplantae; Streptophyta; Magnoliopsida; Zingiberales; Musaceae
Description: long non-coding RNA (MACU_LNC011581)
Source: RNAcentral
UCCGAUCUUCUUGGUGCAUUGUCCGCUCUUCUAGGCCUGAUUACCAAACUCAUGGCACGAAGCCUUCCGUCGACAUGUCGACCGAUCCUUCGGCUUGACGUCUGAUUUUCUGAUAUUUUCCACUCUGGCCCAACAUUAAUUCUUCCUGAUUUAAUUGUCUCUUUAUGAUCGAAGCUAGUCUUGUAUUACUCAAAACGUAGAUUAGAUCAUAAACUCUAUCAAUUGGUUUCAUCAUCAAAAUCUGAGAUUUAAUUUUAUCCUCUUGGUUGGAGCAUGUGCAAUGUUUUCCUUCAUCCUCUUGAUAGAUCCUUAGUAGCAAUAGUUGAAACCUUAAGGUAAGCCUAAGACCUCCUCUACUACCACUGGUGGCAUCAAUUCCUCAAGCCAUCGAAGAUCACUAGAAAAAUGGAUUUGGAUGGCCUUUAUUGCCCAUGUAAUUGCCAUCAACUCGAAGAUUGUUGUCCCCGGCAUCCCUUCCUUUGUCUUUAGCAAUAAAUCCUAUAAAUAGCCCCCACUCUCUAGUGAAGAGGAUAAGGAGGCAGCGGAGGAGAAGGUAUAUUAGAGCAAAUAACAAGUAGGGGUAGCAGGCAUCAAGUGUUCGAGGGGCAAUGGGUCAAAGGAGUU